UACGAAGGGGGCUAGCGUUGUUCGGAAUUACUGGGCGUAAAGCGCGCGCAGGCGGUUGUGCAAGUCAGAGGUGAAAGCCCGGAGCUCAACUCCGGAACUGCCCCUGAGACUGCUCGACUUGAGUACGGGAGAGGUGAGUGGAAUUCCGAGUGUAGAGGUGAAAUUCGUAGAUAUUCGGAAGAACACCGGUGGCGAAGGCGGCUCACUGGCCCGUUACUGACGCUCAGGCGCGACAGCGUGGGGAUCAAACAGGA
This 254-nucleotide ribosomal RNA is filed under the name uncultured bacterium. RNAcentral describes it as "partial 16S ribosomal RNA". It matches the Rfam family "Bacterial small subunit ribosomal RNA", at positions 524 to 777 of the family's 1533-position model. The record is from RNAcentral.